GGCUCGGUAGCUUAGUUGGUAAAGCACUUGUCUAGCGAAUAAGGGCCGUGAGUUCAAAUCUCAUCUGAGCUG
Molecule: non-coding RNA, 72 nt
Organism: Aedes albopictus (Asian tiger mosquito)
Lineage: Eukaryota; Metazoa; Arthropoda; Insecta; Diptera; Culicidae
Source: Rfam